AACGAACGCUGGCGGCAUGCCUAACACAUGCAAGUCGAACGAGACCUUCGGGUCUAGUGGCGCACGGGUGCGUAACGCGUGGGAACCUGCCUUUAGGUUCGGAAUAACUCAGAGAAAUUUGAGCUAAUACCGGAUGAUGUCUUCGGACCAAAGAUUUAUCGCCUUUAGAUGGGCCCGCGUUGGAUUAGCUAGUUGGUGGGGUAAAGGCCUACCACGGCGACGAUCCAUAGCUGGUCUGAGAGGAUGAUCAGCCACACUGGGACUGAGACACGGCCCAGACUCCUACGGGAGGCAGCAGUGGGGAAUAUUGGACAAUGGGCGAAAGCCUGAUCCAGCAAUGCCGCGUGAGUGAUGAAGGCCGUAGGGUUGUAAAGCUCUUUUACCCGAGAUGAUAAUGACAGUAUCGGGAGAAUAAGCUCCGGCUAACUCCGUG
This 433-nucleotide ribosomal RNA is filed under the name uncultured bacterium. Its description in RNAcentral is "partial 16S ribosomal RNA". It matches the Rfam family "Bacterial small subunit ribosomal RNA", at positions 29 to 507 of the family's 1533-position model. The record is from RNAcentral.